This 253-nucleotide ribosomal RNA is filed under the name uncultured bacterium. Its description in RNAcentral is "partial 16S ribosomal RNA". It matches the Rfam family "Bacterial small subunit ribosomal RNA", at positions 524 to 776 of the family's 1533-position model. The record is from RNAcentral.
UACGAAGGGGGCUAGCGUUGUUCGGAAUUACUGGGCGUAAAGCGCACGUAGGCGGCUUUGUAAGUUAGAGGUGAAAGCCCGGAGCUCAACUCCGGAAUUGCCUUUAAGACUGCAUCGCUAGAAUUGUGGAGAGGUGAGUGGAAUUCCGAGUGUAGAGGUGAAAUUCGUAGAUAUUCGGAAGAACACCAGUGGCGAAGGCGACUCACUGGCCCGGUACUGACGCUGAGGUGCGAAAGCGUGGGGAGCAAACAGG